This 482-nucleotide ribosomal RNA is filed under the name uncultured bacterium. Its description in RNAcentral is "bacterial SSU rRNA". It matches the Rfam family "Bacterial small subunit ribosomal RNA", at positions 28 to 524 of the family's 1533-position model. The record is from RNAcentral.
GACGAACGCUGGCGGCGUGCCUAACACAUGCAAGUCGAACGAGGUCCAGGGAAGCUUGCUUCCUGAAGACCUAGUGGCGAACGGGUGAGUAACACGUGAGAAACCUGCCUCGGAGUGGGGAAUAACUCGGGGAAACUCGAGCUAAUACCGCAUACCUUCACAUGAUCGCAUGGUCGAGUGAAGAAAGAAUUUCGCUCUGAGAGGGUCUCGCGGCCUAUCAGCUUGUUGGUGGGGUAACGGCCUACCAAGGCAACGACGGGUAGCUGGUUUGAGAGAACGAUCAGCCACACUGGGACUGAGACACGGCCCAGACUCCUACGGGAGGCAGCAGUGGGGAAUCUUGCGCAAUGGGCGAAAGCCUGACGCAGCAACGCCGCGUGCGGGAUGACGGCCUUCGUGGUUGUAACCGCUUCAGCAGGGACGAAAUGACGGUACCUGCAGAAGAAGCCCCGGCGUAACUACGUGCCAGCAGCCGCGGUAAU